Molecule: ribosomal RNA, 33 nt
Filed under: Bradyrhizobium sp. Aa1d
Lineage: Bacteria; Pseudomonadati; Pseudomonadota; Alphaproteobacteria; Hyphomicrobiales; Nitrobacteraceae
Description: partial 23S ribosomal RNA
Source: RNAcentral
AAUCAAGUGCCUUAAGGGUGUUCGGUGGAUGCC